GACGAACGCUGGCGGCGUGCUUAACACAUGCAAGUCGAACGGUGAAGGGAUCAGCUUGCUGGUUCUGGAUGAGUGGCGAACGGGUGAGUAACACGUGAGUAACCUGCCCCCUUCUUCUGGAUAACCGCAUGAAAGUGUGGCUAAUACGGGAUAUUCUGGGUCUGUCGCAUGAUGGGUCUGGGAAAGAUAUUGUUUCGGUGGGGGAUGGGCUCGCGGCCUAUCAGCUUGUUGGUGGGGUGAUGGCCUACCAAGGCGGGGACGGGUAGCCGGCCUGAGAGGGUGGACGGUCACACUGGGACUGAGACACGGCCCAGACUCCUACGGGAGGCAGCAGUGGGGAAUAUUGCACAAUGGGCGCAAGCCUGAUGCAGCGACGCCGCGUGAGGGAGGGAGGCCUUCGGGUUGUAAACCUCUUUCGCCAGUGAAGCAGGCCUGCUCCUUGUGGGUGGGUUGACGGUAGCUGGAUAAGAAGCGCCGGCUAACUACGUG
Molecule: ribosomal RNA, 489 nt
Filed under: uncultured bacterium
Lineage: Bacteria
Description: partial 16S ribosomal RNA
Rfam family: Bacterial small subunit ribosomal RNA
Source: RNAcentral